AUGGGAACUGUAGGUGGGAACGGUCAGGUUCUUCACAGGGAAGGUUUUCAGUGUAACACAGUCUGGAUCUGAACAGAUAAGAGAUGUGUAAUGUUUAGUUUGAUCAGCAGAUGUUUGAGAGCUUUCCUCUCAUCUGCAGGAGUCCUGAUCAUCCUGAAGAUCAUCGAGAAACAUCAAUCAUGGACUGAUCGCUGAGAAUAGGCCUAACUGAGUUUUGUGAUUUCCUGGGCCACCCUGCAGAUGAGUGUCGCUGAUAGCUGAAGGAAGGCGCAGUCGCAGGUGUUUCUGAGAGUCUGGUGCCCUCAUGACUUCAGCGCUGGAGAAUCCAAACAGAACCGUGACACACAACCCGCCAACAUCCCUCAUGAACAUCAGCACACACCUUUAAUCACGCUCAUAAACGAAUGAAAGGGAUCGUUCAUAAAGAUGCACGCAGACAGAACGAUAGACACUUUCAAGUCCUGGGAAGUUUGUGAAGUCGUACUAAUUAUGAUAUCAGAUGUGUAUACAGUAAAUGCAGUGUACUUUUUCUACAAAACAUCAGCAAGAUCAUUUCAAAAUCAUGAUUGUGGAUGUGCAUCAGGUGUGUGUUUGCUUUAUGUUUUUAUUCAAAUUAUGAAGAAAUUAUGAAAAUCGUAAUUG
Molecule: long non-coding RNA, 642 nt
Organism: Cyprinus carpio (common carp)
Lineage: Eukaryota; Metazoa; Chordata; Actinopteri; Cypriniformes; Cyprinidae
Exons: 3
Source: RefSeq, a predicted model, not a curated record